GACGAACGCCGGCGGCGUGCUUAACACAUGCAAGUCGAACGGAAAGGCUCCAGCUUGCUGGAGUACUCGAGUGGCGAACGGGUGAGUAACACGUGGGUAAUCUGCCCUGCACUCUGGGAUAAGCCUGGGAAACUGGGUCUAAUACUGGACAUGACCUUUCUCCUUAUGGGGUUUGGUGGAAAGUUUUUCGGUGUAGGAUGAGCCCGCGGCCUAUCAGCUUGUUGGUGGGGUGAUGGCCUACCAAGGCGACGACGGGUAGCCGGCCUGAGAGGGUGAUCGGCCACAUUGGGACUGAGAUACGGCCCAGACUCCUACGGGAGGCAGCAGUGGGGAAUAUUGCACAAUGGGCGGAAGCCUGAUGCAGCGACGCCGCGUGAGGGAUGACGGCCUUCGGGUUGUAAACCUCUUUCAGCAGGGACGAAGCGUAAGUGACGGUACCUGCAGAAGAAGCACCGGCUAACUACGUGCCAGCAGCCGCCGUAA
This 483-nucleotide ribosomal RNA is filed under the name uncultured bacterium. RNAcentral describes it as "partial 16S ribosomal RNA". It matches the Rfam family "Bacterial small subunit ribosomal RNA", at positions 28 to 523 of the family's 1533-position model. The record is from RNAcentral.